AGCCGUGCGAUAAGCGCAGAGCGAACUAUUCUUUCGCCUUUUACUAAAGAAUACCGUGUGCUUGUCCCUUACAGCGGCAUACGCCUAUUUUUGGAGGGCUAUUCCUUCGGGAAACU
This 116-nucleotide small nuclear RNA is filed under the name Theobroma cacao (cacao). RNAcentral describes it as "snRNA U5". It matches the Rfam family "U5 spliceosomal RNA". Rfam says of the family: U5 RNA is a component of both types of known spliceosome. Lineage: Eukaryota; Viridiplantae; Streptophyta; Magnoliopsida; Malvales; Malvaceae. The record is from Rfam by way of RNAcentral.